This 689-nucleotide ribosomal RNA is filed under the name uncultured Leuconostoc sp. Its description in RNAcentral is "bacterial SSU rRNA". It matches the Rfam family "Bacterial small subunit ribosomal RNA", at positions 80 to 757 of the family's 1533-position model. The record is from RNAcentral. Lineage: Bacteria; Bacillati; Bacillota; Bacilli; Lactobacillales; Lactobacillaceae.
GCACCUUUCAAGUGAGUGGCGAACGGGUGAGUAACACGUGGAUAACCUACCUCAAGGUUGGGGAUAACAUUUGGAAACAGAUGCUAAUACCGAAUAAAACUUAGUAUCGCAUGAUACCAGGUUAAAAGGCGCUACGGCGUCACCUAGAGAUGGAUCCGCGGUGCAUUAGUUAGUUGGUGGGGUAAAGGCUUACCAAGACAAUGAUGCAUAGCCGAGUUGAGAGACUGAUCGGCCACAUUGGGACUGAGACACGGCCCAAACUCCUACGGGAGGCUGCAGUAGGGAAUCUUCCACAAUGGGCGAAAGCCUGAUGGAGCAACGCCGCGUGUGUGAUGAAGGCUUUCGGGUCGUAAAGCACUGUUGUAUGGGAAGAACAGCUAGAGUAGGGAAUGACUUUAGUUUGACGGUACCAUACCAGAAAGGGACGGCUAAACACGUGCCAGCAGCCGCGGUAAUACGUAUGUCCCGAGCGUUAUCCGGAUUUAUUGGGCGUAAAGCGAGCGCAGACGGUUAAUUAAGUCUGAUGUGAAAGCCCGGAGCUCAACUCCGGAAAGGCAUUGGAAACUGGUUAACUUGAGUGCAGUAGAGGUAAGUGGAACUCCAUGUGUAGCGGUGGAAUGCGUAGAUAUAUGGAAGAACACCAGCGGCGAAGGCGGCUUACUGGACUGUAACUGACGUUGAGGCUCGAA